AUUGAACGCUGGCGGCAGGCCUAACACAUGCAAGUCGAACGGUAACAGGAAGAAGCUUGCUUCUUUGCUGACGAGUGGCGGACGGGUGAGUAAUGUCUGGGAAACUGCCUGAUGGAGGGGGAUAACUACUGGAAACGGUAGCUAAUACCGCAUAACGUCGCAAGACCAAAGAGGGGGACCUUCGGGCCUCUUGCCAUCGGAUGUGCCCAGAUGGGAUUAGCUAGUAGGUGGGGUAACGGCUCACCUAGGCGACGAUCCCUAGCUGGUCUGAGAGGAUGACCAGCCACACUGGAACUGAGACACGGUCCAGACUCCUACGGGAGGCAGCAGUGGGGAAUAUUGAACAAUGGGCGCAAGCCUGAUGCAGCCAUGCCGCGUGUAUGAAGAAGGCCUUCGGGUUGUAAAGUACUUUCAGCGGGGAGGAAGGGAGUAAAGUUAAUACCUUUGCUCAUUGACGUUACCCGCAGAAGAAGCACCGGCUAACUCCGUG
This 490-nucleotide ribosomal RNA is filed under the name uncultured bacterium. Its description in RNAcentral is "partial 16S ribosomal RNA". It matches the Rfam family "Bacterial small subunit ribosomal RNA", at positions 30 to 507 of the family's 1533-position model. The record is from RNAcentral.